UAGACAGUCACGUGGUCCUGCAUUAAGCUAUAUGACGGCAAAAGUUGCAUAGAAUAGAAAGCUGCUGGAGUUGUGUGUUUCUACUAUUCUGCGAGAACAGCUUCUCUGCCAGCAUGUGGGGGGUGCAGCCUAGGAGGCAGCUGUUAGAGCAUCAAUGAAAGGAUGCCCGGGCAUAUUGGUGGUGUUUGUUGGUACAUGGCUCGUAAGCAUGCAAGGCUUGCUUGCCACAGCUGACUGAAACUGAUGGUCCCUGGGGAAUUGAUUUGUUUGGGGUGAAGGGGCUGCCUGAUUGGGCCAGUGGAGCACCCGAAAAAAAAAUCUGGUGGGCCCAGACCCGAUCCUCACUGGCACUCCAUCCCCUGAUGCACUGAAGGAUAUUGUCCAGCAUCUCUCCAGUUUAAAAUUUCAGCAGCUAUCUAGUUACAGGAAGAUGUACAGGAAAGCCUAAAUAGACAGAUAAGAAAUAAAAGCACUUUUAUGCCUUCAAGAUUGUACCUCUGAGUUUGAUGGAUCCAACAGAACCUGUAAAGCAUCCACUAGAUGUCACUGAGGAGCCUUACAGUAAAUCUAAAAGAAGCCUAGAAGAGAAAAAGUUCAGUGGCAAGGCAUGGAAGAAAGCAGGCUUACAAGAUGGUCUAUUUGUUCUUUAUAGCAUGUCAUACUGAAUAGUUGAGUAGCAAUCAGAUACAGAUAGGGUUUUAUAAUGUAUUGCAAUGUGUUGCACAACAAAGCAGACUAUUAAUCAGCCAGUUAUAAACCAGUGCUGAAGCAUGUGUUUAGACAACUUGUUGCUUUAAAGGGGCAGUAUAUCCCCUCCCCUUGUGUAACUUGAGUGCUAUGAUUAGGGCUUGUGCUAAACCUACUUUUGGCCUGUUUUAAUCAGGAAAAAUCUUUGGCUUCAAGUCGAGGUUUUGUUUUUAGUGCCACAAAAUUGUUUGUUUUCUUAGUCUCUUACCACUAUUUUUGUGGGUUUCAGCAUACCAGAUUAAUGGAUCCCACUUCUUGAGUAAAACUUCUCCACGAGCUAGGUAGUGUUCUUUUUGAAGUAUGCAAUUUUGUUUCUUCCUGGAAGAGGCUCCGUUUUAAGUCUCCUCCUUUACAAUGGCUAAUUCCCAUAAAUGAAAGGCCACUGGGGUCCUUAUUGUGUACCCUGGAAAAAUGUCUAGAUAGGUAAUGUUUUAUAUAGUCCCCUUUUUUCCCUCUUUAUUUGUUAUGUUUAUUGUAAUACUUGAAUUUAUCUAUUAUCUUAAUAACCCCAUUUGUAUUAAUGUAUUCUACUGUACAGCACUGUGUACAUAAGUAGCGCUUUAUAAAUAGAGAUAUAAUAUAUAUAUAUAUAUAUAUAUAUAUAUAUAUAUAUAUAUAUAAUAUUUUCUCUAAUAUAUUAUAUUAAAAGGUGAGUGCAAAGGACCUUUUUGCUGUCUAAAUUUUUGUGGUCACAGCCUCAUUUUACCCCUAUCUAAAGCUAGCCAAGCACUGAUAUAGUUGUGUGUACGUUUUAUACAAUUUUUGGACCCUGUGUGCUCUAAAUUCAUGUCUAAAUUUUCGUACCAUGGCGAUUGGUCAUUUGAAAAAUAAAAUCUGCACAUGUUUAGAACAUCCUUUAGAUUUAUUUUUAGUACUUUAUCCUACAAUUUCAGUCUGAAUGUUAGUUUUAGAUUGUCGCUUUUAUAUGUGCAAUCGAUAUCCAAACAUUUGUUAGAAAAAGACUAAAAUCUGAAUGUUUAUGGACACUUUUAUGGUUUAUAAUUUAGUGUUGAGCACAACUUUCCCUUUUUCUGUAGCUAUUUAGAGUGAUUGUGAGUGGAGAGACUAGCUGAGAGCAUUAGGACCCUGCAGGCAGGAGGAGGAAAGUCACAUGGGCGGAAGGGAAGUAAGAUAGGAAUGGGUGAGUAAGUCAAAGAGGGGCUAAAGGAAAUUGACUGUAGCAGUAACUUAUACAGCCCGGGGCACUUCUAUACUCAAAGUAAGUUCUGAAAAGCAUAUCGGAUUAGUUUCAAGAAGUCUGCAACAAUAUGAGCUCUGUGUGACUUUGUUUUUGAGGAAGUAAAAGCGGAGCAACAGAUCUCACUCAUACACCACUUGAGUGACUUGGGCUUUGGGUCAGCUGGAAGUGAAAACCAACAGAAGGUUCAAAGUUGCUUCUGAAGUUUCUGAGUUUUGGGAUUCUUCUCCAGCAGUUGAUCCAGCUGUGAUUUUAUCUGGCUAAAAGGUUAAUUCAACUGAUGAUUCCUCAGUUUCAGAGGAUGCUAUGGACCGAAAAGUUGAAGCUGAACUGAAAAGUUCAUCAUGUAACAGGGAGUUUAAUGACUGGCCUUUUUUGCCCCAUGGUGCCCCUUAUGGUAUUCUCUCUGCUUUCAGUUUGUUGUAGCUGUGUAAAGCUCUACAAAAUGGAUAGUUGGCAUACAGACAACCAAGGUUCCAGUCCCAUGAGGUUUGUUGGAAUUGUAAUGCAACACCUGAAAUAUGCAUACAUAAACAGUAAUAUUUAACCCUUUGUGUUGCCUCCAUAUAAUGGUGUGAAAUCUAUACAUAGAACAUCAGUGCUGGUACUUUGAUAUCAUUGCCAUUAUUUUUGUCAAGAUUUUGUCCAAGUCUCUACCCCCCCUUCAUUUUCUGGAAUGAAUAUUUGAUUUUCAUGUUUGUUGGAAGCUUUAAAACCUAUACAUCUGUUCCUGUGUUUUUUUUAUUAGGUAUCUCAGAAAUGUCUUUUCCAAACAUUAUCAAUAAACAUUUUUGAGUGAUUUUCAAAGGG
Molecule: long non-coding RNA, 2755 nt
Organism: Xenopus tropicalis (tropical clawed frog)
Lineage: Eukaryota; Metazoa; Chordata; Amphibia; Anura; Pipidae
Exons: 6
Source: RefSeq, a predicted model, not a curated record